This 301-nucleotide ribosomal RNA is filed under the name uncultured bacterium. RNAcentral describes it as "partial 16S ribosomal RNA". It matches the Rfam family "Bacterial small subunit ribosomal RNA", at positions 509 to 807 of the family's 1533-position model. The record is from RNAcentral.
CAGUCGCCGCGGGAAUACGAAGGGUGCAAGCGUUAAUCGGAAUUACUGGGCGUAAAGCGUGCGUAGGCGGUGAGUUAAGUCUGCUGUGAAAUCCCCGGGCUCAACCUGGGAAUGGCAGUGGAUACUGGCUCGCUAGAGUGUGUCAGAGGAUGGUGGAACUCCCGGUGUAGCAGUGAAAUGCGUAGAGAUGUGGAGGAACACCGAUGGCGAAGGCAGCCCCCUGGGCCAAUACUGACGCUCAUGCACGAAAGCGUGGGGAGCAAACAGGAUUAGAUACCCCCGUAGUCCCUGUCUCUUAUAC